RNAcentral lists this ribosomal RNA (409 nucleotides) under Pseudomonas aeruginosa. RNAcentral's name for it is "bacterial SSU rRNA". It matches the Rfam family "Bacterial small subunit ribosomal RNA", at positions 225 to 626 of the family's 1533-position model. The record is from RNAcentral. Lineage: Bacteria; Pseudomonadati; Pseudomonadota; Gammaproteobacteria; Pseudomonadales; Pseudomonadaceae.
AUGAGCCUAGGUCGGAUUAGCUAGUUGGUGGGGUAAAGGCCUACCAAGGCGACGAUCCGUAACUGGUCUGAGAGGAUGAUCAGUCACACUGGAACUGAGACACGGUCCAGACUCCUACGGGAGGCAGCAGUGGGGAAUAUUGGACAAUGGGCGAAAGCCUGAUCCAGCCAUGCCGCGUGUGUGAAGAAGGUCUUCGGAUUGUAAAGCACUUUAAGUUGGGAGGAAGGGCAGUAAGUUAAUACCUUGCUGUUUUGUUGUUAUCAACAGAAUAAGCACCGGCUAACUUCGUGCCAGCAGCCGCGGUAAUACGAAGGGUGCAAGCGUUAAUCGGAAUUACUGGGCGUAAAGCGCGCGUAGGUGGUUCAGCAAGUUGGAUGUGAAAUCCCCGGGCUCAACCUGGGAACUGCAU